GACCUUUCAAGAGAAAAAAAAGGAAUUUGGACGGAUUACCACAGAGACGUGGCUACAACUUCUCCCUUAGUUUUCAUAUCAUGGAGUCCCAGAAGACCCAGGGCCGGCAGCGUCUGCCUGGCAGCGGAUCCCAGGGAAGACGAUUAAAGCACGCUGUCCUCUAGCAGCACAGGAUGUGGCUCAGUGCAGAACUUGGCAUCGUCCCCUUUACACCUCAUUUGUGUUUUGGACUCCACAAUAUCCUGCAGUUCUACAGCGCAUUUUACAAUGUUUUAAAAUUAUGUCCUUGUGCUCGUUGUGACAGAAUAACUCAGGACUGUUAGGAAACUCUUUGACUGUGGUACACUUCUAAGAACAGUUCUAAGCUCUAAGAACAGUUCUAAGGUCUAAGCCAUUCCCUGCUGCAGCUCUGCACAUCAGAGGGGUGGUCAGAGGGCCCCAGACAGCCCCAACCUCCACCAUCCCAGGUCCAACCUGGCCAUCAAGGUGCUCUCCAUCCCACACCAUAUAAAUCCAUACUGUGCACUACACAGAACUAUUUAUACCCUGCAGGGAGAGCGGUUAGUGACGAACCGCCUCACACUCCCGAGGAAUUUGCAUUAUCAGGAGCUGCUGCUGAUAAGGGUGCGCCUGCAGUCCAUCUGCUCCCGCCUGCCAUUUGCAAUACAAAGCAGUUCAGUCCGUAGAGAAAACUGAUUUAACCAUUUGACUCUGCUUUCACCUAAAUUUAGAGUGUCAAACAGUUCACUCUAAACAGUUCAUGUUUCAGUACGUGUAUCUUCUUCAUUCUAGCAUCCAGGACAGCUUUACCAGCAUUCCUGGCAGCGAGCUGUUCUUCAACACAGCGACAUCGCUGUACUUUCGUUUAGGAUAACCUCAGUGUGAGAGCACUGAACACGCUCCCCUGGGUGCUUCAGCAGGGAACAGCAAGCAGGAGGAAGUGAUGCUUCCUUCAUGUAUGACAUUAAAAUCCCUGUGUGCGCCUGUGUUAAAAAAACAGUAAUAAAAGAGGUGGAAAACUGGGUACAAUUCAGAGAAGAGAAGGCAGAUCAAAGCCUUAUUUCCUCUAUUUCACCUUUCAUUGCAGAUUACCCUCAUACUUAACAGUUCCCAGAGACGCGCCGUUCAGUCUGUAGGAAGUCACCUUUGCUGAGUGCAAAGCGCGGCUCAGCAUCGCAUCACCACUAACACUGAAUACCAUCUGCUGGGGCUGCUAUGCCACUGAGCUCAGGAAGGGGGCCGGCGUUGCCCGGCAGAACCACAUCUGAGCUGCAGCUCUCAGGCUGUGGAAGAUACAGCGACCGCAUUCACGCGGUGCUGCCUGGAGCCUGGAGCCUCCGAGAGCAACAAAGAGAUGAAGCGCUUUCCGUGAGCUGGGGUGGAGCAGGAAGGCGGCAGCAGUUCGCCUUUUUGGAAACUGUUUUUUGAGGCGCUUUAGCUACACGGAUGGCCAAUUAAAAAUGUAAUUACAUCACCCAAAGAUCUCAGAUUGGACAGAAGAAACACUUGGCCAAAUAAUUACGCACACGGCAAUCUGGAAGAAGCAGCAGAAAGAAACACAUUUAGAGAAUAUAAAAAGAUACGAGCAUUCUUUUAUAGAAGCUCAGUAACAAAUUGGAACAUGGAGAGCAAAACAUUUAAAGAUCAUUCUGAAAGUAUUACAGCUCAGAACUGAGGUAGGCACGCACCCAAAAUAAAGAACAACAAAAAGCAAUAGAAUAUGCAAAUGCUAUCAGUAUAAUUCAAUUAAAAUUAGGCCUUGCAAAUUAAGAUAUUUCUGAUCAUUGCUGACAAAUCAUAACACAGCACACCUACUGGCGAGUCGCAGCAGGCACCUCCAAAGGCACUGCGGGACCACAGACAAGUCAGCAGAACUUCAUUAAUUCACUUCAAGGAGAGGCUCAAUUAACAUCGGCUGACUUCAGACAGCAUUAACUCUGUUCCUACAGGUGUUCAAUCUACAGCUUUGACUUGAAGUUUUUCAUGUCUUUUCAAUGGAAUCACGAGCAAACGAAAAUUAAAGCAAUUAUGUAUGAUUUAAGAAAACUGAGACAAAAUAGUCUUAAAAAUCCGUAGCUAGUGCUAGCUUUGCAAAGACAGAAGAAACGAUCAUUAAUACCCAACAAUGGCCGUACAAGUUUAACAUAAUAAAAAGGCAAAAAAUUCAAAACAAA
Tympanuchus pallidicinctus (lesser prairie-chicken) is the source of this 2174-nucleotide long non-coding RNA. RefSeq lists it as uncharacterized. Lineage: Eukaryota; Metazoa; Chordata; Aves; Galliformes; Phasianidae. The transcript is spliced from 2 exons. The record is from RefSeq and is a predicted model, not a curated record.